Molecule: long non-coding RNA, 324 nt
Organism: Drosophila ficusphila
Lineage: Eukaryota; Metazoa; Arthropoda; Insecta; Diptera; Drosophilidae
Exons: 2
Source: RefSeq, a predicted model, not a curated record
CCGAGCGGACUCAUAAUAACAUCGUUCUUGGCGACAAUGAAUUUUAAGAUCAGCCUGAUUUUCUUAUCGCUUCUACUCUCGGGCGUUUUGGCAUUCCCAAAAAGGAGAACCAAGUGCGAACCAUGGGAACCAUUUUGCGACAAUGAACCUGCACCGCCGGGAUAUAUAAACUAGUUGGACGUAUCAUGCAUUGAUAAAAAAAAAAAAAUUGACAAAUUUCAAAAACUGUAAUUAUGUUUUGAAUAUUGUGUAAUACGUUUAGCAUUCUUACCACGUCAACUUAAUCAACAAAUAAAGUUAUUUGCCAUUUUUUUAAAACCUCAA